This 378-nucleotide ribosomal RNA is filed under the name uncultured bacterium. Its description in RNAcentral is "bacterial SSU rRNA". It matches the Rfam family "Bacterial small subunit ribosomal RNA", at positions 29 to 434 of the family's 1533-position model. The record is from RNAcentral.
AGCGAACGCUGGCGGCAGGCUUAACACAUGCAAGUCGAACGGGCACUUCGGUGCUAGUGGCAGACGGGUGAGUAACACGUGGGAACGUACCUUUCGGUUCGGAAUAAUACAGGGAAACUUGUACUAAUACCGGAUACGCCCUUCGGGGGAAAGAUUUAUCGCCGAUAGAUCGGCCCGCGUCUGAUUAGCUAGUUGGUGAGGUAAUGGCUCACCAAGGCGACGAUCAGUAGCUGGUCUGAGAGGAUGAUCAGCCACACUGGGACUGAGACACGGCCCAGACUCCUACGGGAGGCAGCAGUGGGGAAUAUUGGACAAUGGGCGCAAGCCUGAUCCAGCCAUGCCGCGUGUGUGAUGAAGGCCUUAGGGUUGUAAAGCACU